RNAcentral lists this ribosomal RNA (1454 nucleotides) under uncultured bacterium. RNAcentral's name for it is "bacterial SSU rRNA". It matches the Rfam family "Bacterial small subunit ribosomal RNA". The record is from RNAcentral.
GUUAUCAUGCAAGUCGAGCGGGUUAUAUAUUUAAACUUCAUGGUGAUGGUAUGGACUUUAUUCCGGUUAAUUCUGGUCUCUUGCCCUCGCCAUCAUCAUGGGUUUAAAAUGUGUGAUCAGCGGCAGACGGGUGAGGAACACGUUGGAAUCUGCCCCAAAGUGAGGGAUAAUCUGCCGAAAGGCGGACUAAUACCGCAUGUGCCCGCAAGGGUAAAGCUUUAUGCGCUUUGGGAGGAGCCUGCGUAAUAUCAGCUAGUUGGUGAGGUAAUGGCUCACCAAGGCUAUGACGUUUAGCUGGUCUGAGAGGAUGGCCAGCCACAAGGGAACUGAGACACGGUCCCUACUCCUACGGGAGGCAGCAGUAAAGAAUAUUCCGCAAUGGGCGAAAGCCUGACGGAGCGACACCGCGUGGAGGAUGAAGGCCUUAGGGUCGUAAACUCCUUUUCUGAGGGAAGAAGUUCUGACGGUACCUCAGGAAUAAGCAUCGGCAAACUAUGUGCCAGCAGCCGCGGUAAUACAUAGGAUGCAAGCGUUAUCCGGAAUUACUGGGCGUAAAGGGUUCGUAGGCGGUUUUUUAAGUAAGGGGUGAAAUCUUCGGGCUCAACCCGAAAACUGCUUCUUAAACUGGAAAACUUGAGGGAGGGAGAGGCUGACGGAAUUCUGCAAGUAGGGGUAAAAUCCGUUGAUCUGCAGAGGAACAUCAAAAGCGAAGGCAGUCAGCUGGACCUCUUCUGACGCUGAGGAACGAAAGCGUGGGUAGCGAACGGGAUUAGAUACCCCGGUAGUCCACGCCCUAAACGAUGGAUACUCGACGUUGACAUUUAUGUCAGUGUCUUAGCUAACGCAAUAAGUAUCCCGCCUGGGAAGUACGAUCGCAAGAUUAAAACUCAAAGGAAUAGACGGGGACCCACACAAGCGGUGGAGCAUGUGGUUUAAUUCGACAAUAAGCGAGGAACCUUACCAGGACUUGACAUCCCGGAAAUCUUGCAGAAAUGUGAGAGUGCCUUUAUCGGUAUCCGGAGACAGGUGCUGCAUGGUUGUCGUCAGCUCGUGCCUUGAGGUGUUCGGUUAAGUCCGUAAACGAGCGCAACCCUAGUCCUAUGUUGUAAUUUCAUAGGAGACUGCCUUGUCCAACGAGGAGGAAGGUUAGGAUGACGUCAAAUCAGCAUGGCCCUUAUGUUCUGGGCGACACACGUGCUACAAUGGUCGGUACAACGGGCAGCCAAGUCGUAAGACGGAGCAAAUCCCUAAAAACCGAUCCAAGUUCGAAUUGAGGGCUGCAACUCGCCCUCAUGAAGUCGGAAUCGCUAGUAAUCGCGCAUCAGCCAUGGCGCGGUGAAUAUGUUCCUGGGUCUUGUACUCACCGCCCGUCACACUAUGAGAGGUAGGGGCACCCGAAGUUCCCGCAAGGGGCCUAAGGUGAAACUACUGAUUGGAGGAAGUCUAACAAGUUC